RNAcentral lists this ribosomal RNA (376 nucleotides) under uncultured bacterium. Its description in RNAcentral is "bacterial SSU rRNA". It matches the Rfam family "Bacterial small subunit ribosomal RNA", at positions 524 to 898 of the family's 1533-position model. The record is from RNAcentral.
UACGUAGGGGGCUAGCGUUGUCCGGAAUCAUUGGGCGUAAAGCGCGUGUAGGCGGUCCGGUAAGUCCGCUGUGAAAGUCGGGGGCUCAACCCUCGGAUGCCGGUGGAUACUGUCGGGCUUGAGUACGGAAGAGGCGAGUGGAAUUCCUGGUGUAGCGGUGAAAUGCGCAGAUAUCAGGAGGAACACCAAUUGCGAAGGCAGCUCGCUGGGACGUUACUGACGCUGAGACGCGAAAGCGUGGGGAGCAAACAGGAUUAGAUACCCUGGUAGUCCACGCUGUAAACGAUGGGCACUAGGUGUGGGGGGUGUCGACUCCCUCCGUGCCGAAGCUAACGCAUUAAGUGCCCCGCCUGGGGAGUACGGCCGCAAGGCUAAA